UACAGAGGUCCCAAGCGUUGUUCGGAUUCACUGGGCGUAAAGGGUGCGUAGGUGGUGAGGUAAGUCGGAUGUGAAAUCUCGGAGCUCAACUCCGAAAUGGCAUUGGAAACUACCUCGCUAGAGGAUCGGAGGGGAGACUGGAAUUCUCGGUGUAGCAGUGAAAUGCGUAGAUAUCGUGAGGAAGACCAGUGGCGUAAGCGAAUCUCUGGACAGUUCCUGACGCUGAGGCACGAAGGCCAGGGGAGCAAACGGG
This 253-nucleotide ribosomal RNA is filed under the name uncultured prokaryote. RNAcentral describes it as "partial 16S ribosomal RNA". It matches the Rfam family "Bacterial small subunit ribosomal RNA", at positions 524 to 776 of the family's 1533-position model. The record is from RNAcentral.